UACGUAGGGUGCGAGCGUUAAUCGGAAUUACUGGGCGUAAAGUGUGCGCAGGCGGCUCCGCAAGUCGAGUGUGAAAUCCCCGAGCUUAACUUGGGAAUUGCGCUCGAAACUACGGAGCUGGAGUGUGGCAGAGGAAGGUGGAAUUCCACGUGUAGCGGUGAAAUGCGUAGAGAUGUGGAGGAACACCAAUGGCGAAGGCAGCCUUCUGGGCCAACACUGACGCUCAUGCACGAAAGCGUGGGGAGCAAACAGG
RNAcentral lists this ribosomal RNA (253 nucleotides) under uncultured bacterium. Its description in RNAcentral is "partial 16S ribosomal RNA". It matches the Rfam family "Bacterial small subunit ribosomal RNA", at positions 524 to 776 of the family's 1533-position model. The record is from RNAcentral.